UGCUCCUCCUAAUUUGCAUUACAUAUAGCAACACAAGGAAAGAAAAUUACUUCACAACAGAUGAUUUUUCAGCACCCUCUCUCGUCAAUGGAGAUGGUAUAUCCAAAACCGAUAGAGACACAAGGUUACAAUACGGUAACAACAAAUGAGCAUUUAGCUUUGAGGAUGAUGAUAAUUAUUUUACCUGCGGCUGUGAUUUUCUUGAUUAAGGAGUCGUUACUACGUCGACACUUAAUAUGGCCAUGUUUCGGUAAACUUGACUGUAAGGGGUUGGAUAUGUUGAAUUGUUUAGAAGGAAAUGAGACGUAGAAAAGAAAGAAAGCGCAUGGCGAUAUAAGACAAGGUUCCAAUAGCUUGGCUCAGAAACAAGGAUUUUGGGGAAGCUAGUGUCACACAACCUGUUUUGAAGUCUUGUAUCAUGUCUGAAGCUGUGGAUACAAUACCCAUAACGACACCACAUGCUGCUAAACCUGUGGUGAGUAAGAAUCUACCCAAACGCUAAUAACCAAGACGACCAAUUUUUCAUAGGUAGAUGCAUAAGAAUAAUCAGUCAUUCCAUAUCUAUAUUCAUUGCAAAAUACUAUUGUUGGUGCAAUGAUGUGAAAUCCAGCUAUGUAAUACCACUUCAACUGAUAAAAAUGUGGAGAUAAUGAUGAUUGAGAUGAAUGAAAUGAUGACAUAGUCAAAGAUUCCAAACCAGGAGGAGAUUUGAUCCUUGAAGAACAUUUCAAUUUUUAGCUUAUUGUUGAUGUAACCUACUUGAGCGAGAUGAGCAUUUGAUUCAUUGGAUUGUACUCUUUUAUCUCUUUCUUUCCACUAGUUGUACAAACAUAUAAGAGUAUGGCGCUAGAAACUUUCAUAAAGUCGUAUAAGCCAUCACCAAGAACCAUCUCCACUGGUAUGAAAAUCUGUUAUUCAAAGAAUAUAUAAUUAUGCAACUAAAGAAUGUGUCAAUAAAGAUUUAUUACAUCA
Molecule: long non-coding RNA, 972 nt
Organism: Vicia villosa (hairy vetch)
Lineage: Eukaryota; Viridiplantae; Streptophyta; Magnoliopsida; Fabales; Fabaceae
Exons: 3
Source: RefSeq, a predicted model, not a curated record